AAAAGGCGUUGGUCGAUAUAGACAGCAGGGCGGUGACCAUGGAAGUCGGGACCCGCUAAGGAGUGUGUAACAACUCACCUGCCGAAUCGACUAGCCCCGAAAAUGGAUGGCGCUGAAGCGCGGUGCCUAUACCGGACCGUCGCGGCAAUGUACGAACGCGCGGUAGUGAGCGCGGGCGUCGAGAGGCCGCGACGAGUAGGAGGGUCGCCGCGGUGGCGGGGAAACUCGGCGAGCGAUCGCGAGCGGAGCCGCCGCGGGCGCAGAUCUUGGUGGUAGUAGCAAAUAUUCGAACGAGAUCUUCGAAGACGGACGCGGAGAAGGGUUCCACGUGAACAGCGGUUGAACGCGGGUCAGUCGGUCCCAAGUCAUCCGGGCUAACGCCCCCUCGAAGGCGGCCGGCGAGCUCCGCGAGCGCGAGCGUGCGCUCCUAGCGCGCGCGAGCGCCCGAGCCGAGCCGGUAACUCGGGCGAAAGGGAAUCCGGUUAAAAUUCCGGAACCGGGUCGCGGAGAAAGCGGAGGCGCCGACGCGCGCGCGCGCUCGCGGUUCGUCCGCGCGCGCGCGCCGCCGCGCGCCUCCCGCCACCGAGCGGUAACGCGAACGAGCCCGCCGACGCCGACGCGCGCCCCGGGGAGAGUUUUCUUUUCUCGGUAAGGCCCCGCGGUCCCUAGAAACGGCUCUUCCGGCGACAG
This 690-nucleotide ribosomal RNA is filed under the name Neomenia carinata. RNAcentral describes it as "partial 28S ribosomal RNA". It matches the Rfam family "Eukaryotic large subunit ribosomal RNA", at positions 1216 to 1744 of the family's 3401-position model. Lineage: Eukaryota; Metazoa; Mollusca; Solenogastres; Neomeniamorpha; Neomeniidae. The record is from RNAcentral.